This 389-nucleotide ribosomal RNA is filed under the name Clostridioides difficile. Its description in RNAcentral is "bacterial LSU rRNA". It matches the Rfam family "Bacterial large subunit ribosomal RNA", at positions 2129 to 2516 of the family's 2925-position model. Lineage: Bacteria; Bacillati; Bacillota; Clostridia; Peptostreptococcales; Peptostreptococcaceae. The record is from RNAcentral.
ACUACAUGUACAGGAUAGGUGGGAGGCUUUGAAACCAGGACGCCAGUUUUGGCGGAGCCAUCCUUGGGAUACCACCCUUGUAGUACUGGGACUCUAACCAUAGGCCAUGAAUCUGGUCUUGGGACACUGUCAGGUGGGCAGUUUGACUGGGGCGGUCGCCUCCCAAAAGGUAACGGAGGCGCUAAAAGGUUCUCUCAGUACGGUCGGAAAUCGUACGUAGAGUGUAAAGGCAAAAGAGAGCUUGAUUGCAAGACAUACAGGGCGAGCAAGGAUGAAAAUCGGACUUAGUGAUCCGGUGGUUCUGCGUGGAAGGGCCAUCGCUCAACGGAUAAAAGCUACCCUGGGGAUAACAGGCUUAUCUCCCCCAAGAGUCCACAUCGACGGGGAGG